RNAcentral lists this long non-coding RNA (2032 nucleotides) under Olea europaea subsp. europaea. The record is from RNAcentral. Lineage: Eukaryota; Viridiplantae; Streptophyta; Magnoliopsida; Lamiales; Oleaceae.
UUUAUAAAACAUUACUACUCGACCACCUUUACUUGUGGCUAGCAAGUGAUAGGCCACCACUCGAGCACCAAGGUUACGCCUAGUGAGUGGCCACCCUUUUGCUUUUCCACUCAAAUGAGCAAUUGGCAUUUAGCAAGCAUUUUUGUGGCAAAAUUUUUUCCUUGUUUUGUCUUUGACAUUUAACUUUAAUUACAACUUAAUAACUCAUAAUUUUGGACACGGAGUAUUCAGUUACAAUUUGGACCUUAUAAACUCCCCCUCUGAUGUUUCGUGACAAAAUCAUUUAUAUCACAAUUAAAAUCAACACAACCUAACACUUUUAACCCAAAUACUCAAUAUCCAAACUUCAACUCAAAAUCUUGUCAUAUCUGUUACCUGAAAUACACGAAAUCAACAAUACCACGUGUAAAAGCAAAAGGAAACAACAAUUAAAUACGUAACUAAGUUAUAUAAACAAUGUAAGUAAAAUAUGUGUAACACCAAAACAUGUAAUAUUACGUGCAUCAAUAACUAGAAACUAAACAUGACAUGCUGGAAUAUAAUAUCACAACGACUAAGUUAUAGAAACAAUGAAAGUAAAAUAUGUGUAACACCGAAACAUGUAAUACUAUGUUCAUCAAUAACUUAGAAACUAAACAUGACAAGUUGGAAUAUAAUAUCACAAUAGCUGAACUAGCAACACAAAGCAUGAUAUUGAUAUUGUAUAAAAUACCUAACAUAAUAUCAAUAAGCUUAAAUAACACCGCUAUUCAAAUUUCAAUCACAAAAAAUUUAUGAUUGACCUUAAGUCAAAGAUAAAAAAUAAUGUAUCAACUUCUCCCAACUCAUAUACUCAACUCAAGUGAAAUAAAUACUUAUCUCUCCUUCCUUUUUGUUACGAAUCACAAAGGGAAACAAAUAAUGUAAUCAUGAAUAACACAGAGAGCAAAAAGUGAAAAAAUUAUGCAUAUGGACAAACUAUGCAAAAUAUGUGAUGCGAGAAUUUUUUUUCCUUUUUGAGAUAACUCUUUUUCACUUGUUUUUAAAUAUAACAUCAAGUAGUGAAGGAUCAAAUCACAUGAACAGUUAUUUGCUUCCUUAUACAAUCAUAAUUUAUAAAUAGUAACCUUUUUCCACAUAACUCAUUUUAAAUCUAUACGGAGUAAAUUAUAUAUACAGCCCAUGUAUGAAAAAUACCACUAAUCUCUUGUAAACAAGAUUCAGAACCUUAAAUCAAUGAGAAAAUGACAUGCAAAGAAAUCGCUCGUGAAUGGAUAUUGUCCUGAAAUUAUGAAAAUCAAACACAGUAAUACUAGGACCUUUUAAUUAAAGUAGCUCAUAUUAAUAACUUUGGGUUGAGCUGAGUGUACAGGGUACGGUGCUCGUGCCGAACACACACAACAUCGGGUGGGUGGGGUUUUAUUAGUUUUUUAUACAGGUGAGUCCCAUGUGGGACCCAUUUGGUGUGAGUGAGUGUAGGGGUUCCGUGAACAAAAACCUCUUUACACUCAAAAUUAUUCAAUAACUUAUUUCUUUCUUCCCCUAUCUGUGAGCAUAUAAUUUUUUUUUAUCUUAUAUGUAGAUUUUUUUCAUUAAACUUACUAAAUGAUUCAUAUAACGAGUUUUAAGUCGAUAGGGCAUCAGGUUAUAAGAAACCCAGCAAACUUAAUUAUUCGAGUUAUAAAUGCUAUAAAGAGAAGUAUAAGAUAUAUCACAAAUUUCUAUAAAAUUCAAAUCCUUUUUUUUUCUUUUUUUGGGAAUAUACAAGAGCUAAAGUUAGCUAAUUAAACGUUAAUUCAUAUUCAAAGUCACCUCGCUACACCAAUAAUCACUAUCUCAAAUCUCACACAUGCGAUCAAAACUCACUCACAAGAGUGUAAUAUAUGCAGUGCAACUAAUGCAUGAAAAAAUUUAUAUCAAGUACUCCAAUAAGCUCUAAACAAAAGUUAAUGGAAACUUUAUUCACAGUUCAUAUAUUUUACUAGCAAUUAAUCACAAAAUAACAUGUCCGAUCAUUUUAAAGUAUUAUAAUCAUCAAAAAUCUCUUCUUCUU